This 382-nucleotide unclassified non-coding RNA is filed under the name uncultured bacterium. RNAcentral's name for it is "contains 16S-23S intergenic spacer region". The record is from RNAcentral.
UCCGAGUUGACCCCGGCAGUCUCCCACGAGUCCCCGCCAUUACGCGCUGGCAACAUAGGAUAAGGGUUGCGCUCGUUGCGGGACUUAACCCAACAUCUCACGACACGAGCUGACGACAGCCAUGCACCACCUGUGCACGAGCCCCGAAGGGCUGCCGUAUUUCUACGACAUUCCCGAGCACAGGAUGUCAAACCCUGGUAAGGUUCUGCGCGUUGCGUCGAAUUAAACCACAUGCUCCACCGCUUGUGCAGGCCCCCGUCAAUUUCUUUGAGUUUUAACCUUGCGGCCGUACUCCCCAGGCGGAUGACUUAACGCGUUAGCUGCGCCACCGAAACGCUAGGCGCCCCGACAGCUAGUCAUCAUCGUUUACGGCGUGGACUAC